UGUAUGUUUCUAAUUGCCCUUUUUAGACUUCUAAGUUGCGCUGCUAUCGACUCUUCUUCACUUGAUUGGACAUCUUUUUCCAAUCCCGCAUACCAAUCAGCCUCAUAUGGAACCUUAAGAGCCACAGAUGUUACAAAAGUAGGAGCUUCGAUAGCAUAUACAGGUGGCACAAGUAUCUCACAAGUGACAUGUGCCUCGGGUAUGUGCUGCAUCUCAGGAUAGAUGGGAAUAGUAAAGUUUUGAGUAGGGAUCAAAUAACUAGGUGCAGUCCCGAUAGUGGUUUGAAAAGUAAACAGGGCUUGAUCGUG
Molecule: long non-coding RNA, 308 nt
Filed under: Capsicum annuum
Lineage: Eukaryota; Viridiplantae; Streptophyta; Magnoliopsida; Solanales; Solanaceae
Description: long non-coding RNA (CANN_LNC017873)
Source: RNAcentral